GCAAGGUCGAGCGGACCGAAUGGGAGCUUGCUCCUUUAGGUUAGCGGCGGACGGGUGAGUAACACGUGGGCAACCUGCCCUGCAGACUGGGAUAACUUCGGGAAACCGGAGCUAAUACCGGAUAACACCGAAAACCGCAUGGUUUUCGGUUGAAAGGCGGCUUUUAGCUGUCACUGCAGGAUGGGCCCGCGGCGCAUUAGCUAGUUGGUGAGGUAACGGCUCACCAAGGCGACGAUGCGUAGCCGACCUGAGAGGGUGACCGGCCACACUGGGACUGAGACACGGCCCAGACUCCUACGGGAGGCAGCAGUAGGGAAUCUUCCGCAAUGGACGAAAGUCUGACGGAGCAACGCCGCGUGAGCGAAGAAGGUCUUCGGAUCGUAAAGCUCUGUUGUCAGGGAAGAACAAGUGCCGUUCGAACAGGGCGGUACCUUGACGGUACCUGACGAGGAAGCCACGGCUAACUACGUGCCAGCAGCCGCGGUAAU
This 488-nucleotide ribosomal RNA is filed under the name uncultured bacterium. RNAcentral's name for it is "bacterial SSU rRNA". It matches the Rfam family "Bacterial small subunit ribosomal RNA", at positions 57 to 524 of the family's 1533-position model. The record is from RNAcentral.